RNAcentral lists this ribosomal RNA (438 nucleotides) under uncultured bacterium. RNAcentral describes it as "bacterial SSU rRNA". It matches the Rfam family "Bacterial small subunit ribosomal RNA", at positions 337 to 791 of the family's 1533-position model. The record is from RNAcentral.
ACCUACGGGGGGCAGCAGUGAGGAAUUUUCCGCAAUGGUCGCAAGACUGACGGAGCAACGCCGCGUGCAGGAGGACGCUUUUCGGAGUGUAAACUGCUUUUCUGUGGGAAGAGGCAGGACGGUACCACAGGAAGAAGCCCCGGCUAACUACGUGCCAGCAGCCGCGGUAAUACGUAGGGGGCGAGCGUUGUCCGGAGUUACUGGGCGUAAAGGGCACGCAGGCGGUGCGGCGCGUUUCGCGUGACAGCGGAGGGCUUACCUCUCCGAGGAUGCGAAAGACGGCGGCACUUGAGGGCCAGAGAGGGACACGGAAUUCCGGGUGGAGUGGUGAAAUGCGUAGAGAUCCGGAGGAACACCGAAGGCGAAGGCAGUGUCCUGGCUGGUGACUGACGCUGAGGUGCGAAAGCUAGGGGAGCGAACGGGAUUAGAUACCCCGGU